AGUGUAUUUUGUGGACAUGAUCCUGUUUCUUAUCUUGUCAAUGAUCUUAGCCAAUUGGCCAGCCUGUCUUGGAUUCUUUAAGUGCUUCCUGUCAUUUCCCUCCCUCCACAUCAUAUAGAUGGUGACUUGGAACACUAGUCUAUUGAGGAUGGAUGUGAGGAAAUCAAACCGGUGGUGUGUUAAGUGAUCAAUGCGUCUCGGACUCUUUAAGUGCUUCAUGUCUUUGCGCUUCCUCCUAAUCAGCUUUUGAUUGGAUUCAACUAUAGCUCCAGUAGCAAUUUUAUCGCCUUGGUGCAAAUCUUUACCGCAAUAUGCAUAUCUGCAUCGGUUGGUGCCGUAAACGUGGAUGCAUUAAUGUUAUUUUUUCUCCACUUGUGGCAGAUUCGAAGGAAAAGUGAUAGUAUUUGCUUCGUUACUUUGAACCAAAUGUAUUUGGGUUUUCAUAGUUUGGUGUUCUCCUUUAUGAAACCUAUUUUUCUCCCAGGUCUUUCACUUGGUUAGAGUGAUCGUAUUGCAAGGAGAAUUAUGUCAAUGGAAGUUUUCCGUUUUUAGUUCAUGUAUGAACUUGUUCUCGGGUGUUCCAGAUUCGCCGGUAUUGCAAAGUCUUACCUUCCGGUUUUAUGACGUUUCUGCUAUUUGUCGCAGAGUGUCUAACCCUUUUGGGUGCACAAGUUGCUAUCAUAUCAACGGGUAUCUCGAAGCUUGUCUGCAAGCCAUACUGUCAGAACUCUUUCACCUUCUUUCAGAGAGUUAGUCUUUUGAUGUUUACAUGAUCUUAUUCCCUAUUCGAUCCCUUAUCUUGUCUUUUGAUGACUUAUGUUCUUAUCUUGUGUUUUAUUGUGUUAAUGAUAUGGCAAACUCUUGGGCUUGUGUUGUCGUCUUGUGUUGUAACAUCUCCUUCUCUAAUAUAGUCUGAGACUUCUAAUUUAA
Long non-coding RNA from Raphanus sativus (radish), 930 nucleotides. RefSeq lists it as uncharacterized. The record is from RefSeq and is a predicted model, not a curated record. The transcript has 2 exons. NCBI's taxonomy places the organism in Eukaryota, Viridiplantae, Streptophyta, Magnoliopsida, Brassicales, Brassicaceae.